CUGGACGUGCAAACCGCGCACAACGAAUCUAGACGCACCUACCCGAAACAUAUAUAGAAACGGCCCGCCCCCUUGCCAGAUACACGCUACUCCAAAAUCCUGCAACUGCUUUGGAAAACUGGUGGCCAACGCACGAGCGGCGGCGAGCCCAAUCUCCAUCCUUAUUCCGACUUCACAGCAACCACCGGAGCCGCCGAUCAUGGAGUCCUCGCCGACGUCGUACAAGAAGGCCACGGCGGCGCUGGACGAGGCGGCGAGG
RNAcentral lists this long non-coding RNA (259 nucleotides) under Hordeum vulgare. Its description in RNAcentral is "long non-coding RNA (HVUL_LNC016629)". Lineage: Eukaryota; Viridiplantae; Streptophyta; Magnoliopsida; Poales; Poaceae. The record is from RNAcentral.